AAUUUAAAAUUUAGAUAGAUCUAUCUAGACUAGUUACUAGAUCUAUAGAAAUUCUCAAUCAAGAUUAUCUAAAUCUAUAUAGAUCAAGAAGAAGAACAGUUUAAAGAAAAUAAUACCAGGGUUAUGCUCCUUUCACCGUUGAGUUCCAGGAUGAAGAAUGAAAGACAGAGAGCAAUGUGAAGACAUAAAAGAAUGUGCAGGUCUGCCAUGAAAUGGUUUAUCCAGGGCUAAGUACAGAGAGGAAUAUAGAAGGGCUGUUGACUGAUCUUGUGUGGUGCCCCCAUGGCUCAACAGACUGAUUGAUAGAAAAUAAUACCAGGGUUAUGUUCCUUUCACUGUUGAGUUCCAGGAUGAAGAAUGAAAGACAGAGAGCAAUGUGAAGACAUCAAAGAAUGUGCAGGUCUGCCAUGAAAUGGUUUAUCCAGGGCUAAGUACAGAGAGGAAUAUAGAAGGGCUGUUGACAGAUCUUGUGUGGUGCCCCCAUGGUUCAACAGACUGAUUGAUAGGUAAUGAAAAUAAUACCAGGGUAAUGGUCCUUUCACUGUUGAGUUCCAGGAUGAAGAAUGAGAAAGACAGAGAGCAAUGUGAAGACAUCAAAGAAUGUGCAGGUCUGCCAUGAAAUGGUUUAUCCAGGGCUAAGUACAGAGAGGAAUAUAGAAGGGCUGUUGACAGAUCUUGUGUGGUGCCCCUAUGGUUCAACAGACUGAUUGAUA
Molecule: long non-coding RNA, 713 nt
Organism: Biomphalaria glabrata
Lineage: Eukaryota; Metazoa; Mollusca; Gastropoda; Planorbidae
Exons: 4
Source: RefSeq, a predicted model, not a curated record